RNA transcript from Hevea brasiliensis (rubber tree), 2750 nucleotides. It is a transcript of the gene named transcription factor TCP22, with no coding region annotated. NCBI's taxonomy places the organism in Eukaryota, Viridiplantae, Streptophyta, Magnoliopsida, Malpighiales, Euphorbiaceae. The record is from RefSeq and is a predicted model, not a curated record. The transcript has 5 exons.
ACAGUUUCUUAACUCUGAAUUUAAUUUGUACCAUUUGAUUUGGCUGCUUGAUCAAUUUACUUGCAAUUGAAGUUCUUCAAUAUGAAAGUUCACUUAAAUUCCUGAUCAGCUGAUAAUUAUUAGAUUUCACUUUUGAUCACUUGGUCACAAAGAAAAAUAGUUUCACUUGCUAUAGGCUUAACCUUUCUUUGUCAUGGACAAUAUGACUUGUGUACCAUAGCAAUAGCUCUUAGGGCCUUUUGUUGCAAAUAAACAUAGCAAGUGGGUGUGUAGCAGCUUUCCUUAAAGAAGGUAAAAAAUUUUGGUCUUCCAUCCCUCUUUUUAGUUCAUUUCAGAAAUACUGUAAAAGAUGCCAGUUUUAUUGCAUAUUUUCUGGCUUAAACAGAGCUUUACAUUGCACAACCACAGGUUUUUAUAAUCAUUCAGGAAAUAAAAAGAAUGGAUGAAAAGGCUAAAACAACAAAUUAUGGGCAUUGCGCUCACCAUAUAGAUAACUGCUAAAUUAAACCUGAAGGAGGAACAGCUAAUGCUGACCAGGAAAAGGUAUGUUGAGAUUUGGAAAAUUAGAUGGGGGUAGGGGGAGGUUUAAGUCAUAUGAUGAAAAGAUCCACUAUUCUCCCCUUGAAGAGUAUUCUGACUUGUGAAUGUUCUUCCAAAUUAUUUAUAGAACCACAAGGAAUCGAGAUUCUGUGAAAUAUGAAAUCUUCAUUCAGGCCCAAGUUUAUAUUUAGCUUUCUAUUAAAGGAGUUAGAACAUUCUGAACAAAUUAAAUGUGGCAGAUAUUGAUCUAAUUGGGGCCUAAUAAUAGGACCUAGUAAUGGUCUGAAUCUAUGUCUUGGCUUUUAAGGCAUGGAAUUAAGGAUAUCCCACUUCUUAGUUCUUGAAAUAUAUGUUGCUUUUUUGGACUGAAUAUCGGAAAAGGAAACACACAGAGAGAAGCUCUCAAAUGCUCAAUUUGUUUACACGUUGUUUGAUUCAAAUGAAUUCCUCAAAAUUUUCUAGAACUCAAUUGAAUUCCAUGUUUUGCAUGUUUGAUUUGGAAAAAAAAAAAUUUCAAUUUCAAUUUCAAUUUCAUAAAUUCAAUUCUAUGGAAUUGAAUUCAACUAAAUCCAAUUCUUAUCAAAAUAGGUGAAAUUUCUAAUGAAUUCCAUAAAAUUAAAACAAUCACAUUUUUCGAUCAAAAUGUCAAUAUCGUAUUGUCUUUCUCCCACAUUUUCUUUCUUUCUCCUAUCUAUCUCUCUCUCUCUCCCUUCCCACUCUCUCUCUUUUGAAAAUAAAAAUAAAUUAAUUUUAAAUUAUAUAAUAAGGAUAAAUUUAAUCCAAUAUAUUGUUUAGGAAGUCACGAUUUUUUUCUCAUUGAUGAUAUUUUAGGAACGGAUAAAUGAACUUGAGUUAUAAAAUUAUAUCAAACAUGAAGUAUAGGGAAUUCAAUUGAAGUCGUCAUUUAAAGUUGUAUCAUACUAAGCACAAGAAUUCAUUUCCAAGCAAAUUCUAACUAGCAUUCACUUAAAAUGAAUUCUAUGUUUCUAAUUUCUAAUUCAUUUGAAUCAAAUGGGGUGUUAAUAACUGCAUGAUAUUGAAAAUGAAAACAGAGAGAUCAAUCGGUAACUCACAUUAAGAGGUAGCGGUUCAUGCGUUAUUAAGUCAGAGUAGUUUCCCCAGAGAUAUUCCUUUCUUCAAUUGCUUUAGCAUGAUUUAUAUUUCCAUUGAAUUAUUGUAAUAUCAUUUUUUUCUUGUUUGCCUUAUUUUUUUUCACACUUUUGAUCGUUCUUUAACCGAAGCAUUCUGCAUAGCAAUGUUAGAGGCUGCUAGUUGUGGAUUAUUGACAGUCAGUAGACGUGUAGGAGGUGUCCCAGAGUCAUGUAUCAUGAGGCAACUUUCUCCAAUCUGGUUCUACCAGAUGACGUGAUUGUACUUGCAGAACCAGAUCCUGGUGAUAUGGUACAAGCAAUUAGAAAGGCAAUUUCUCUUCUUGCAAAAAUUGACCCACAAGUUAUGCAUGAGCGUGCAAGUGUGGUAAAUUAUUUACGGUAUCUCUCCUGUGGUGCUUGGGCAGGGAAGCUUUUUUGCUUGGUUAUGAUAAUUGAUUUUUUGCGAUGGCUUUUAUUGCAAUUAUGGCAGCCAACAGGGGAUAUUGAGGAGGUGCCUGAAUUUACUGUUUUCAAUAAUCACCAAGAUUUAGAUAGAUGUUCUUGAAUACCAGCGAGAGCCAAAGCUCGAGAUGAUCUAUUCGAAGACUCGGUUUUCCCAGCACCCACAAGAGAAGAAACAGAAAUAGCGAGAAUUCCAAUGGCAGUGGUGGAGCCAGAGAGGAAAAAAGAGGAUUUGAGGGGUGAAUUUGAUUUGUUUCCUGGUGCACAUGGGAGUUUGCCCAACAUGUCUUUCACUUCCUUGUUGAUGCAGUUGGAGAGGGAGUGAUUAAUGAUGAUGGAUGGGUUCCACAACCUUCUGUUUGAUUUUUAUUUUUUAAAUAGCUCUGCUUUCUGUUCUUAGGUGCAAAUAGGCUAACUUAUAAUCUAGUUUAAGGAUAUAGAAUUGCCAUUCUUGGCCUUUUUCUUUGUUGGAUAACUUAGUAACAUGUAGUAGUUUAUGGGGAUGAAAAGUUUACCCUUUUUGGUCUGUUGAUAAUUGAUCUUGUGGCCCUGGUUGUAGCUUUUUUUAACAGUGCUUUUGAUUCUCCAGCCAAAUAUACAUAUUAUUAAGUUGAAGAAUAUCUGUGGAAAUCAAUGUGAAGAUCUCAAAUUUGCAGA